UUUUUUUUUGUGUUUUACCAUGUAUAUCACAAUAGGUGAAUUUUUGACCUCCCAUUUACGAAAGAAUUGAUGUUGUUUUUUAAUUUUUUAUGAUUUAUGUACUUGCAUAAAAACUAUUGUAAAAGAUACAAUCAAUAGUCGGGAAAACAAAUCCUUUACAAAUUUAUGGAUUAAUAAUGAUUAAAGUGAGAUUUUUUGCUAAUAAUCAUUUGCUUCCACCCCUCACUCCCUCAUCAUUCCUCAAGAAGAACCUAUGAAUAUAAUAUUAUUGAUACUAAGCAAAAGAAAGAAUCAGUUCAUAUAGAAAUUGAUACUGGAAGCACACACAUUUUAUUCACUAAAAAACAUCAAUAUAAAUGAUAUAAAAUUUAUGAUAGGAUUUAUAAAUAUUUGGGUAUAUUUCAAAAGCUAUACUCAAUUAAUCCAUAAAUCUAUACAGAAUAAAUAAUAAAGAAAGAAAGAAAAUAGGAUAAAAUGGAAAUAAAAAAUAACUUAACUUCUUAAAUAAGUGUUUUCCACUUUUAUGCCUAUAUUUGUUAUUGCAAAUUUUUACUUUUGUCAUUUAUUAUAUAUAUUCAUUAUAUAGAUUAAAUUCCCCAACUUCAUAAAAGUAAAAAAUAAAAAAGAGCACGAAUAACUGCAAUAAUAGCGGUAAUUAUACUAAAAUAUAUUUCUUCCUUACAUUUUGUUAUGUGUAUUGUAGAUGGUAAGUCCUUGAGCUCCCAUUUGAAAAAGAUUUAAUUUUGUUCUUUAUUUUUUAUAUUUUAUGUACUUUAGUUAUGAAAAACUAAUCCUUUACAGAUUUGUGGAUCAACAAUAAUUAAAGUGAGAAUUUUUGCUAAAGGCCACUUGCUUUUGCCUCUUACUCCCCAUCUUUCUUCAUAAAGAGUAUAUAAAUAUGGAUAUUACUGAUGCAUAGCAAGAGGAAAAACUAACUAAUAUAAAGAUUCAUAAUGAGGGUAUUCAUAUUUUAUUCACUAAAGAACAUCAAUAAAAGUGGUGUAAUAUCUGUGACAAAAUUUAUAAAGAUUUUGGAUGGAUUUACUUAAUUGAUCCAUAGAUGGAUAUAAAUUAAAAAGUAAAAAAAGAAAAAAAGGGAGAUAAAAUGGAAAGAUAAAAUAACUUAAGUUCUCAAAUAUGUGUUCCUCUCUUUUAUGCCCAUACUUAUUAUUGUAGAUGUUCAUUUUCGUUAUUUAUUACAUAUAUUUAUUAUGUAAGUUAAAUUUCUUUAUUUCAUAAAUGAGAAAGAGAGAGAGUGUGAGUGAAUAAUAGUGGCAAUUGCAGUAAAAUGCAUUUCUUCUUUAUAUUUUGCUAUGCACAUUGUAAUUGGUGAGUUUUUGAACUCUCAUUUGCAAAUGAAUUGAUAUUGUUCUUUAUUUUCUUGUGCUUUGUAUAUUUUGAUUGAAAAAACUAAUCCUUUAUAAAUUCGUAAAUCAACAAUAAUUGGAGUGAAUUUCUUUGCGAAAUGCUACUUGCCUUUACUAUUUUUUUUGCUUUAUAUAUUGGAUGCAAUUUAUAAUUGUGCCUUAUAAAUCCAUGUAUCAGUAAUGAUUAUAGUGAAAUUCUUUGUCAAUAGCCAAUUCCUCUAUCAUUCUUCAAAAAGAGCCCAUGGAUAUAAAUAUUGCUAAUACUCAGUAGCGGGAAGAAUCGAUUAAUAUGGAGAUUGAUGAUGAAGGUGCCCACCUUUAUUCACUAAAGAAGAUUAAUACAAGUGGUGUAAAACCUCUGAUAAAAUUUAGAUUUCAAAAGCUAUACUCAAUUAAUUCAUAAAUGUAUAUAAAAUUAAAAAAAAGAAGAAAGGGGGAUAAAAUUAAGAUAGAAAAUAACAUAGUUAAUUUUGCUCCCUUUUAUGCUUGCUGUUGUAAAUAUUCACUUUUGUCAUUCACUAUUAUAUUUAUUAUAUGUUUUAGAGUAGGUUAAAUUCCUUAUCUUAUGUUUAUGCUUUGAGCUUACAUUUGACUUACAUUGAUUACAUGGUCAGAUCCAUGAAUGUAUAAAAAAUAAAAAAGAAAUAAAGAAAUAAAAGGGAAUAAACUAGAAAUAAAAAAUAAUCUAUUUUCUUAAGUCCUUUUAUACAUAUACUUGAUAUUGUAAAUGUUCACUUUUGUCAUUCAUCAUACAUAUCCAUUAUAUCCCUUGGGAUAGAUUAAAAAAUUUUAUUUUGCAAAGGAGAGAGAAAAAGGGAGAGAAAAAAAGAGAAUGUGAAUAACAUAACAAUGCUAGCAAUUGCACUAAAAUGUAUUUAAAAAAUAACAAUCACACAUAUUUUGUCAAUUGAUCCAUUAUGACCCAUACUUGCUCCUUUUGUUUAUGUAUUCAUGAAAACAAAUGAUAAAUUCCUCAAAAACACUACACUAAUUACUUUGAGGAAUAAGCAAAAGUUGCAAAAGUCCCUCCAACUUCUCCCAUAACACCUUUACCUGCUAACAAAGCUCACAAAAUUUACAAUACUUAAGGAUAUUAAUUUUCAUAUUCCUCAAAUAAAAAUUGCAAUUAAUCAGCUCAUAUGUCUUUUUCCCCCCAAAAUAACCAGCCUCCAAACAAUUAUACUAGUGGAAUAAAAUCUAAUUAAUUAACACAUUCACAUAUGACAAAUAUGGUUGUUGUAAAAGAGAAUCCCAUUUACUAAUAAGAAAAGUGCAUUUGUCUAUGCUUGCAAAAAGACUACCUCAGCAUUUGAAGCUUGAGCACAAUCAGUCAAUUGCUCAAACUCUAAAUAUAUAAGGAUAGUGGGUAAAACUAACUUAAAGCAUAAUUCAACUUUUGUUUAUGCGCUUGUCUUUGUUUUACAUUUGGCUUAGGUUUAAGCCCAAACUAUAUACCAUAUUAGUUGGUGGAGUACCCAUCUCUUCGCAUUAAGUCACUUAUAUGUUGAAAUUAUGCAAAACUCUAUUUGACUUUGUUUUGUGUAUUAGUUUUAGUGUUGGGAUACUACAAGCUUUAGAAUUGUUCCUAUGUUACUCCAUACUUCUGUCCUUUCGCUCAUUGGAUUGAAUACUUAUGAAUCAUUUUAUAUUCAUUCCUUGACUGUAUACUUAGAAGUUUGGUUAUGUUUCUUCAUUCAAUGAUCCAAGACCCUAAACUCGGGUUCCACUCUACUGCCCUUAGUCCACAUAUUUAAUGGUUAAGGUUUUGCUCUAUAGUUUUGCUCUAUGGUUAUCUUAUAGUAAAACAUCAUAAAGUAAAGGGUGAAGACCAUAUGUACUACAAAAACUCUUCUAAACUCUUUAUAGUUUAGGAAUGAUGAAAAUGUUACUUUAUGCUCUCAUUGUGAGAGCCACUAAUAAAGUAGGAUUUAUUUUGAUCAAGAUCUUUCAUUAUAACAUUGUUAAUCAAGUAAAUUUCUCAAUAUAGUCCCCAAGUGUUAUAUUCUCUUGCUGAAAAUAUCAAAAUUCCAUUCAAUCAUACUCUAUGUGAUAAUGAGGGAUAAAAUGUAGACAUAAAACAGCCUUAAACUCAUCUAUGGGGUUCCUUGUCUAUAACAUGAGACUCCUCAAGUUAAUUUCAUCAUCAAAAAUUCACAUUAUAUAAAACCAUAAGAAUAGCCAUUAAAAGUUUUAUAUCUAGAGUUUUUUAAUAGCCAAGAACUUUUUCACAUUAGUUGGCUAAGCUAGACACUCAUCCACACUGCCAUCAUUGGAAAAAAGUUGGAAUUUUGAGUUAGUCUACAUAAUUGUAAUACUACCACUGUCAACCUCAAAUGCCUCAAUAUACCUAUGCAUAAUAGCCAUUAGGCCAUGCAUCUCCUCUUGCAUCUCUUGUUGAUUUUUGCUAAAAGCUUAUAUCUCAUAAACAAGGAUAGUUUAAACCUUCAUAACUCCAUCAACACCAAUAGUAGGAUUCUAGCAUUCAUCUUAGUUACCCAUCACAAAAAACUACUCUAAUACCAAUGUUAUGACUUAGUGCUAAAUAACACAACAAAGAAGUCUAGCAUCACUUAGAUUAUAUUAUGCCUCCUCUUUAAGUUCCUCACUACCCAACCAUCCUUAAACUACCACAAAAUCUUUCACUUGAUUAUAAGUUGUCAAGGUAAAUGAAGUUUCUUACUUGCUUUAAGAUACCCUUGAGCCUAUUUUUGACUCACAUUGACCAUAUGGUCAAAAUUGGCAUCUAAUAAAGUCCCACUUUAGACAUCUAAAAGUACCACUGACGUACCAAGCCUCUUAUAUUAAGGCCAUGCACUAUCUUAUUGAUAGUUUAAAACCACCCAUAUAUCUCUCAAAAAUUAUUCCAUAAGUGGGACAAUUCCUUAGCAUCCAUAAAAUAUAAUGGAACAUAAACCUUUAAUAUCCUUUUUUUGAUUUCCACUAAAUCCUAGUGAAUGGGCCUUUGGGCAUUAACUCAGUGGUAGUCUUAAUGAACACUACCAUGAUGGCAGAACUAACAUUUGAGACUUCCUCACCACAUAAUUACAUCAUUAGUUAAUAAUCAAAAAGACUAUUUUUUUUCCUUUCCAUGGUCAAGGAUUUUAAAUGAUAUUUCAAAAGUCCACAGCCUAGUACAAACCUCAUAAAUACUCUUCCCACCUUUAGCCACCAGGGUGCCUCAAUCAUGUGGCUAGAGUGAAAUUUUAAAGGGCCAUACCAGGUAAUGCUAUCCAUACUUGGAUUGGAAGCAUCAAUCAUAAUGUGUUAAAAUCAACCCUUAAAUACUUCACCAAGUUCAUCAGCAAUAGGGUAUGGCAUCGUCCAAACACAUGGCAAUGGGUGACACCACCACACCAUGCUCUGCAUACCCACACAUUAGAUGGAACUGUAGCCAGGCUUGCUCCUUAUUCAGUCCUCGCAGCUCGGCCACCUUAUGCUUCUUCCCGCUCACUGUGUAGACGCGCGUUGACUAGGUAGCCCAACGUUGACCACGAGGCGCUGGUGCACGCACACAGCUCUGUGCUCUCGUUGGAACGUGGUGGAUUUCAGUGUAGGGCACCUCAGAGUCAAGCUUGGGCUUCAUGCAGGGCCAGACAAUGCCGCCACGCGGCCAUCACUGUCCCAGCACAGCACCUGCUUGUCGAGGAAGAGGCAUCGAUGUGGACAUGCAGUGGUGCCUGCCUGCUGCUCCAUCCCUCGAGGCUCAAGGUUUAAAGCACAGAAAGCAGUCCAACUUUGUAAUUGAUAUACAAUAUAGAUAUGAUCCUUGAGAAACAAAAUGUACCUUGAUGGUGAGGUAAGCAAUGUAAAGCGCCUCAAGGCCAGGCUCCAAGAGCUGUGCUAUGUUGACGGAUCUGGGCUCGAAGUCGCCCGAGUCCAUACACAGGUCGGCUUGAUGCCACUAAUGCUAGACCUCCUGACAAACGGCUUGAUAAUUUGCUCGACAUGGACACUGCCUUGGAAAGUAUUGGUGAGCAUGAGCCCGAGCUUGGACAUGACCAGGCUCUGAAACUUUUUGCACUUGCCCAUGCAGCACCCAUUCCACAUUGCACGAAGAUGGCCAGAGCUCAAUGCAAGGUACCACGUUGACAAACAUCCACCGAAGCUUGGGCAUGUCGAGCACGAGAGAAAAGUUGGCUCCUGUUGGGGCCCCUGUGGGCACGAAUCACCAGGCAGUCGAGGCUGUGACUCUUGAGCAAAUGCGUCCCGGGCGACUCCACCAGCAGCUGGGUCAGCCAGAAGUAUACGAGCGAGGGGCACAACUUGAGGAGCUGCUUCGUCAUGGCCACGUCUGCGUAUGAAGCAGUAGAUGAGCGCGGGAAGAAUUGGAGCUGCUGCCUUGGUCGUGAGAGGACCGCCAAGCUCGACACCAUCGUUGAUAUGGAGGCACCGUAGCUGCUGGACCAGAAGCCAUCCACACUGACGCUGAUGGUAAGGGAGUGAAUGGUUUUUCCAAUCGCCAGUAGCCAGUCAAGAGUAGCUGCUUUGAGGAACCUGUCAAAGACAGGGAGCGGAGAUUGCUGCUGCUGCUUGCCAAAGGAGACCCCAUUGCUCAUGCUCACCGGACGAUUCCAACCUGAAAUGCAUGACGAGCCUUGCCAGCUGUGCCCACCUCUUGCCCACCAGCAUGAGGGGACGAGCAGGGACAGGAUCCGGAUGAGAAAAUCGUCGGGAAGAUCGUCCAUGGAGCUCAGAUUGUUGCUCACUGCUGAUUGAUAUUGUGGCAGUCCAAAAAAACGUUGUGUGUCAUAUUUCAAAUUACUGCAAAAUUUGCCUAUCAAACUCUACUGUUGGCUCCAAGACUCCAUGUUGCCAUGGAGCUGUCCUCAAUCGACAAGAGCUCCUCCGAAAACACAUUGUCUGAAAGUAUUUGCCAUUCAUGCUUCCAGAUUCAUAGAAUAUAUGGCUCAUCAAACUGCUUCUCCAUGAAGACAGAUCAAACUCCAGAAACUCAUCAUCAAUGAGGGUGAGGAUACUAAUAGUGGUGGCGGGCUCCUCCGGCCCUAAACCCUCAUCUGCCAGCUUUUGAUCAUCACAACCUUGGCCCUACUGCGUCAAUGUGUGUCUUGACAAUGGGCAUUUGAGGUGGCAAAAUCUUGGGAGAUCAAGGCCAAUUGUGUUUGUAUUGAGGAUGUAACUCUUGACCAUAACACGAAUCAAGUAUUGUACCCGUAGCUCCCAAAUUUUCUUAGUGAUUCCAUAGAUGUGGCUCUUUCUUAAUGUAGUAUGAUAUAAUUAUAAUAAUUUAUUUGAAUUAUAUCUAACAUUAUCCCCAGUAAGUUCUCUUCCUUUAGAAAAAGACAGCAGGGAAGAGAAAAAUCCCCAUAGAGCCGAUGCUGAGAAAAGAAAGAAAAUGUAAACUUUGAUUGUAGACAUUUUGCCAGCUUUGCUGUGUUACUGAAUGUUGAUAACUGCUUGACAAGAGGUGGCAAAGUCUUGAGAUCAAGGCCAAAAUUGGUGUUGAGAUAUAGCUCUUGCCUGUGUCAAGGAUGUUACGUGCUGAAGUCUUGUAGCUGUAGUAUAGCUCUAAUAACUUUGUGAUUCCAUAGAUAUGCUUGUGGUGGCAACACUCUUCAGCAAUGCAUAUUUUUGUUUUCCCAACUUUUUUAUCUAAAGACAAAAUAAUUCACAAAUUUAUAUAUUUCACAAAAUUUUAAAUACAUAUUUGAGUGCUGACUCACCACUUUUAAUGACUUAGCAAAAUUUUAUUGGUUGAAAAUUUUCCUACCAACCUAAAAUGGCCAAACUUCAAACUUUCCGACUUGUUUUAAUGUGUGCAUCGAUUGGUGCCUGAUAAUAGUUUUCAUUUGAGGUGGCAAAGACUCAAGACCAAGGCCAAUGUUUGUGUUUACCAUUCCAGGAAGUAACAGGAUAAAUCAAGUAUUGUACCCAUGAGUAUGUGUCUGCUCCCAUAUUUUUCAUGAUUCCAUAGCUUUCGGAAGCAACUCUUUCUUGUCUCAACGGAUUUUUUCUUCCCCGGUGUCUUUUUCUAAACAAAGGAAAACUUAAAAGAAGAAACUGUGUAGAAAUUAAAUACCUUGAUGAUCGAAGACAUUUGGUCCUGUUGCGCUACCGAGUGCAUCGAUAGCUGCUUGACAAUGAUUUUCAUUUGAGGUGACAAAGUUGAUUCGGUGUUGAAGACAUAGCAUUUGUCUGUGUCAGGGAAGUUACUAGAGAAGUUUAGACUUUGUAGACAUGAGUAUGCAUAACUUCUUCGUGAUUCCAUAGAUGCGUUUGCGGUCGCAACACUUUCUUAUCUCAGCAUCGGAGAUGUACUCUAGCAAAAUUUUAUUUCCCAGCUGUUGUUUUCCACAAAAUCGUGGAGCUCUUGCCGUCUACAUGCCGUCGAGUGGAUCAAGCAGAACAGGGGCGUGGGGACCAUCCAGGGCCUGUCAAGCUCAAGAAGUUCACGUUCCCGCCACAUUUUGAAGGUUACUUUCCUGCCCAGAGCUUCAGUGAUGAGGAACAUCCCGGUCGCGGCCGCCAUGUAAGUUCGCCACACACAGAGAGAGAGAGAGAGAGAGAGAGAGAGAGAGAGAGAGAGAGAGAAGCAUACCACCGAGAAGAUCAUCCAAAAGCUGGCUUCCAGUGUCACGGAUUUUCGCUUUGAAGAGCCUCAUUCCCAGUGAGAUAGCCGACUUGCUGGAAAAUAGCAAUAAGCGAUCCAAGGCACUUACCACUAUCUUUUCUGCCGUCUUGUCGACCUUUGGUUCGGACAAUCCCGUUAAGCUCUGGCAGAUAGAAGAAAAUCCGAUAAGGGAAAAAGAAAAGAUCAAUCGAUUGGCACCUUCUUUGUUUGCAGUCCAUUGCAUGUAUGACUUCCCGCGUCCUGGAGGCUUUUUCACAUCCCCGGCAUUGAUUCCGGAAGAACAAGUUAUCUCGAAGGCCGAGAGACCGAUCUAAAGACUGACGCCUGUCAAUCGUCUCAAAGGUCCUCCUCCUCAUGCGAGGGCAACGAUUCCGGACUGGCAAAACUCAGCUCGCGCAAGCCGAGCAUCUGCCGUUGGGCUUAUACGGAGUUAAUGGUAAAAAGUGGACAUCGACACCAAGAUGGCAUUGUAUGAUCGUUUUCCUUUAAUUUCUUUGCUGUGAAUUCUAAACGAUGCUUGCAGCCGUCCCGAUGGAAUCAUUCCCAUCGCGGAAAGGUUUGGACUGGAUCCAACAGCUGCUCUUGACAAACGUAAGUGUUUUAGCUAUUGGUCUCGUGAGUAACUUUCGGUUUUCCAGAUUGUGUACAUGCUCGAUCAUACACGCACGAACAUCAAUACAACCUUCUGAUCGCCUUAGCGGCUAAAAUGACUGAAAACCGAUCAGGCUCUUGGUAAGAAAUAAUUAUCUUCUAUCCAGUUCUUACAAGGAAGUGCAGACUGUCGGGUGGUGUUCUCAAUGCUUGCAUGCAAGGCUUUAGUUGAUGGUACUAGCUCGCAAACAAAAUCGAAGACAAACAGCUACUCGUGCCUUGUUGAUCUCUGUCGGGAUAUUGAGCAGCUAGUUAUACGUUCGCGUUUCUCCUACGUGGCUUACUCAUUUACACGAGAACAAGUAAAUCAAUAAGGUCUCUUGGAUGAUCUUCCGGAGCUGCUCUUCUUGGUGGAGCGGAUGAGGAUCACCAAGACGCGCAACAAUCUGUGCUCCAUGGACGAUCUUCCCGAUGACGUUCUCAUCCGGAUCCUGUCCCUGCUCAAUUGUAUUGGGGUAGCCUGGUGAGCAAGACAUCUGGCAAGGCUAGUCACGCACUUCAGGUUUGGCAGCAGCAGCUGUCUUUGACGAGUUUAGUACCAUGGCAGGACGACGAUUGAGAGAUGUCGUCAAAGAAACUCUCAUCGCUAAAGCGUGGCCAAUUUGGUCCGAAAACUCGCGUCGUCAUCGCUGGCCUCUCCAACGAUUACUCUCAGUACGUGACCACUUUCGAGGAGUAUCAAAUCCAGCGAGAUGAGGUUGGCGUCGCCUCCGGAUCUUGCUGGCACUGAAGAGAUGCACGGUAGAGAUUACAUUGUGGCCGGUUGGCGAACUCCAAGUCGUGAACUUUCAAGACUUCUGCGUCAAAAGCCGAUCGAUGUCCAUAGGCUGACCAUUAAACUGUCGAUGGAGACAAUAUACGAAGGUGUGCGUCUCUGCAAGAAAUAGGAAAUCGUUGAUAUCUGGCAAGCUUACCUCAGGAAGAUCGAGAGGGGAUCACUUUGACUAAGCUGUUCGUCCUGGACAUAAGCUCGAUUACAAUCAAACAGUGAGCACUUUUUAACAGACCUUCGUACGCUUGGAACCUCGCUUGUGUUGCACCUGAUGCUUUGCGACCCCAGGAAUUCACGUCUUGUUUGUACUUAAAAAGGAACGACUGCAAGUGAAGGCGUUCCAUGGCUCUGACACUCGUCGCCAUUCUAUCCUUCGUUCUUGCUGCUGCAGUUGCUGGCUCACGAGCGUGUAACAUCCAGCAAGUAACACUGAUGUUGCAACCGUGUUCCCAAUCUCCGCACGACUGGCCGACGCAGGCCUGCUGCGACAAUCUCCAGGGAAUUGCCGAAUCUUGCACCUGCGAAGUGCUUCUCAACGCCACCAAGUCUUUUGUCCCGGUUGAUCUGCCAGCAAAAUGUGAGAUGGAACAACUGCAAGUUCAAUGCAAACAAGGUACGUACCUGUGGUUCAGUUUCUAGCGAUCGAGAGCUCAACUCUCUCCUGGCCAGAUACAGCACCAGCAGCAUCAGCAGCAGUAACUCUUGUCCAAACCCAUAGAGGUGAGAAACAAAAGCAGGGACAGACUAGUUUCUCAAAACCUUGUUUUAACGCUGUGUGUCCUCAGAACAUCACCGUCAUCAGCAGUUGAGUUACUGUUAUGAUACGGACGACGAUGUACCACCACCUCCAGCACCACCUCGACUUAUUGAUCCUCGAGAGCGUCAAUACGCAACAGCUGUGCAGCUGCCGCCGGGCACUACAAUUGCUGCGGCUUCCUCCGGAUCCCUGUGUCUUACAAACCAUGUACCUCUUUUAGCAGCUGCUCUCGCUAUACUCGCAAUAAAGUGGUCGUCGUAACAAGAGAGCUUCCGAAUCUCACUGUACCUGAAAUUCUUCGUCUUCAUUUUUCUUUCGGGGAUGCUCUAGCUUUAACCACCGCUGCUUGAUGCCGAUCUUCCAUCGCAAGUGAUGCUCAGCCAUCCCCUUCGAGCCAAUAAAUCUCGAAAACUUUUGUAAACGCACGACACCUGACACAAGUACGAGCAAGAUGUCAAGAACUAACAAACAAACAAAUAAAUGAGACAACUUACCAGAACACCUUCACUCGAGAGGGACGGGGUCAAGCGUCACACAAAAGUCACCAUGACUCAAGACUCAAGACUUUGAGAAAUGUGCCUGGAAAAAUACACAAUAAAGUAAGAGAAAUCUGCUUUAUACAAGAAACAGCCCCUUGAUUCAUUUGAAACACACUCUCAAGUCGUGUCGCUGAUCUUCCACCUCAUAAGGAGCCGCGCUAGUAAAUAUAGAUACACGAUCCCGUGAGUAAGCACAAAGAUCUCUCUCGACGCAAAACGCCCGUGGCAAAAUACCUGGGACGUUCGCGAGCUCGCUGAAGAAGAAACUGAACAAGGAUCCAUCUGGCCUGCUCAGCUUCCAGCAACAGCUAUCGCACCCAGCGGCAAACCAAGCGUGUUGGUCUUCGAACCACCCGUAGCCUCGACCCUAGACGCGGCAGCUGCUUCCAACCGCUUCCAGUUGUUCUCCCGUUUCUCUUCCAGGCCCUUCGACUUCUCCUCUUCCUCAAGAUACUUGCGCUGACACUCGUCGAAAAGAUCUUUGUCCAUCUCCAGAAACAUCUUCCGUACGUUGACAGUUAAGCCGUGCACGGUCUGGUUCCAGUGAUUCCUGGUGUUUCUCUCCAAUGCUGAGAACACGAGAGGCAGCACUGUUUGCCGGUUCUGAGUCACCAGGCUGAUAAUAUGAUCAUUGUUCCACAAGAACAGAGCACGUUCCGCCACCUAUAAAAACCAGCAAAUCAGACCGCAAACCAAAAGAAACCAAGGGGAAACACCAAAAUGUACCUGGAAAUGCGAACUGUUGAGACAGCGACUGACUUGCCGAAACAACGGCAGCAUACAGCGUUGGAACUCUGGUGCUUGAGUCGCCUCUAAAACCUCCUCCAACUCGGCAAGAAACAGCACCUCCUUCUGACUGUUAGUGAUCGGCCAGUACUUGAGUAAGCCCCGGAUCACCGUGUCCGCCAGCUUCAUAUCUUUCUCCACAAACUGAGUGAUGCAGUAUAAAAGCUGCUGGUGGUAGAGUGUCACACAUUUCGGCUUGUGCAACGGAAUCAGCGCCCUGACGAGAGACAACUUGUGCUCUUCCUUGAGUGGCAGCGCAAAGCCGUUGAUUAUGCUCCCCAAGAUCUCAAGAAGCUCGGCAAUGCCAUUGUGCUUUUCCGUCUCAAAGAUGAACCUGUAGAAAAUGUUGUUGAAAGCCUUCCUGAUGAAUGGACGGUGGACCAUGAACUUCCCGUAAAUCCGGUGAAGGAUGGUCUUCAAGUAAUCUCUUUCGCGCGGGUCCUCCGAAUCAAAGAGAUCCAGCAGCCUCAGUACGAAUGCAUGAUCAAUGUACCUCUUAGCCUGCUUUGCAUCCGUGUCCGGCGACGCAACAAAUCUCAGGAGGAGCUCGUACACGAGUGAGAGAUGAGGCCAUGCCGGAUCCAUGGUUGGCUCCUCUUCUUCCGGAUCAUGCCCUUCGGAGACAGAGCUAGAAUGCGGCGAAGGUGGCAAUGACCGGAACAAGUUCACCGAAACCAUCUUCACGAUCUCUUCGUACGCCACCUCGUUGAGCUUGAUGUUCCCUGGAGAGCCUAUAAAAUCCACCGUCUCGACCAAAGCCUGCCGUUUCACCUCCUUCUCCUUGAUGUUCUUCGAGGGAUCCGUGAAGUCAGAUAGAACACUGCAAAGCUUGAGUUUCCUCCCGAGCAGCGCCAGCUUCUCCGAGCUAGGCACGUCCUUGAACGAAGGUAAGUGCUCAAAUCCGGAAGAGGAAUUCGCAGGCGGCCCAUCUACAGGUGACCCAGGAAGGUGUCUAAGAUCCUGUUUGCUGCCCAUCACCAUCCCCAGAGUGAUCGAAUUGGAGUUCAUGACGUCAUUGGGAGUACUCCAUCGCGGCACAGCCACUGUUCCUUGUUGUGCUACAUAUCCCUGGCUUCUACCAUUGCUGUGGAGUGGCGAUGGAUUGCUGGAGGGCUUGUUGUCCCCGCCGGAAGAGUUGUCGAUCUUCGAUGAAGAGCUCUUGACCGGAAAGAAGUUUCUCCAUCUCUUUUUCAUACCUGGCAAGAGAUCGUACGCCUGUAUCGAAGAAAUGCCCCCUUGCAAACCCCGCUCUAGACUAGGCUAGACCCAUUCGAUGCCGCCAGAUCGAUUCAUUCACAGCAGAUUUGGGAUCCAGCCCCAGCUUCUGGUGUAUGAAUCACGGCGGCGAUCUGCAAGCUCUUGGACAAAACACCAAAAUUUAGGAAGCUCGGGAGCUUGGCUAGCUAGAAGAACCUGGCAUCAGCGCUGAUCUGAUCGCGACGAUUCCAAAACCCCAACCACAGCCAUUUCGCUGCUCGAUUUCGCCGAGGUCGCUGCGCCUUCUUCCGGGAGCUAGAUUGGCGAUGCCGCUUCGAGUCCCUGGCGGAGCGCUCGAAUCGCGAUGCCCUAGCGCUAUCUAUCGCUUGCGCAGCCGGCAAAAUACUUGCAGCGCUAGGCGCCUAGCUACAGCCCCAAAAGAAAUAACGUUUUUACCCAAGAGGUUUUACGAUAGAGAAAAAAACACGAGAUAUUCCCAAAUAUACCACACUCACACUUGCGUGGCGCCGUCACAACCGUUAGAUGCGCGACAAAGAAACAUUUAAAAAGAAAAACCAUUUAUCAGACCCCGCGUCAACGUGGCCCAAUCCUGGCCGUCUGAUCCCACAGUACAAAUUUUUUCUUGCUACACGAGAGAAUCGAACCCCGCGCUGUUACAUUGGAGAGAAAAUGCUCUCUAGAUGGAACAAAAAGCAAGCACACAGCCAUGGCCGCCGCGACGAAAAGAGGGAUUCAACCAGAGAAAUUUCUUUCCUUUCAUCAAAUCGCUGCCGAUGCCGCUGCUUCUGGGGCCGCGGAUGAUUCCGGGGCCGCUUCCUCUUCCUUCUCGCUCUGGGAAUCUCGCGAAGAAUUCAUCGUCACUUGGAACCCUAGCCACAUGAGCGUGACCUCCUCUCGCGGCGCCGCCUGUGGCUGCUGUUGUUGAUUAUCCUCCUCGAAAUCAUACGCUUCGGGCUCCUCCCCUUCCUCCUCUUCCUCCUCUUCAUCCUGUUCUUCCUGUUCCUCCUCCUCCUCAUCAUCC
Molecule: long non-coding RNA, 13700 nt
Filed under: Selaginella moellendorffii
Lineage: Eukaryota; Viridiplantae; Streptophyta; Lycopodiopsida; Selaginellales; Selaginellaceae
Description: long non-coding RNA (SMOE_LNC000860)
Source: RNAcentral